UUAGCUAGAUGGUAAGGUAACGGCUUACCAUGGCAAUGAUGGGUAGGGGGUCCGUGAGAGGGAGAUCCCCCCACACUGGUACUGAGACACGGACCAGACUCCUACGGGAGGCAGCAGUGAGGAAUAUUGGACAAUGGGCGCAAGCCUGAUCCAGCCAUGCCGCGUGCAGGAUGACGGUCCUAUGGAUUGUAAACUGCUUUUGUACAGGAAGAAACACUACUUCGUGAAGUAGCUUGACGGUACUGUAAGAAUAAGGAUCGGCUAACUCCGUG
This 272-nucleotide ribosomal RNA is filed under the name uncultured bacterium. RNAcentral describes it as "partial 16S ribosomal RNA". It matches the Rfam family "Bacterial small subunit ribosomal RNA", at positions 241 to 507 of the family's 1533-position model. The record is from RNAcentral.